CUCCGAGAACUGAAAGGCUUUUUGAAGUCUUCGGAUGGAUAGAAGAACCCCUGAUGCUGUCGAGCCAAGAAAAGUUUCUAAGUUUAGCUAAUGUUGCCCGUACCGUAAACCGACACAGGUGGGUGGGAUGAGUAUUCUAAGGCGCGUGGAAGAACUCUCUUUAAGGAACUCUGCAAAAUAGCACCGUAUCUUCGGUAUAAGGUGUGGUUAGCUUUGUAUUAGGAUUUACUCCGAAAGCAAGGAAACUUACAACAAAGAGUCCCUCCCGACUGUUUACCAAAAACACAGCACUCUGCUAACUCGUAAGAGGAUGUAUAGGGUGUGACGCCUGCCCGGUGCUCGAAGGUUAAUUGAUGGGGUUAGCAUUAGCGAAGCUCUUGAUCGAAGCCCGAGUAAACGGCGGCCGUAACUAUAACGGUCCUAAGGUAGCGAAAUUCCUUGUCGGUUAAAUACCGACCUGCAUGAAUGGCGUAACGAGAUGGGAGCUGUCUCAAAGAGGGAUCCAGUGAAAUUGUAGUGGAGGUGAAAAUUCCUCCUACCCGCGGCAAGACGGAAAGACCCCGUGGACCUUUACUACAGCUUGACACUGCUACUUGGAUAAGAAUGUGCAGGAUAGGUGGGAGGCUUUGAGUAUAUGACGCCAGUUGUAUAUGAGCCAUUGUUGAGAUACCACUCUUUCUUAUUUGGGUAGCUAACCAGCUUGAGUUAUCCUCAAGUGGGACAAUGUCUGGUGGGUAGUUUGACUGGGGCGGUCGCCUCCCAAAUAAUAACGGAGGCUUACAAAGGUUGGCUCAGAACGGUUGGAAAUCGUUCGUAGAGUAUAAAGGUAUAAGCCAGCUUAACUGCAAGACAUACAAGUCAAGCAGAGACGAAAGUCGGUCUUAGUGAUCCGGUGGUUCUGUGUGGAAGGGCCAUCGCUCAAAGGAUAAAAGGUACCCCGGGGAUAACAGGCUGAUCUCCCCCAAGAGCUCACAUCGACGGGGAGGUUUGGCACCUCGAUGUCGGCUCAUCGCAUCCUGGGGCUGGAGCAGGUCCCAAGGGUAUGGCUGUUCGCCAUUUAAAGCGGUACGCGAGCUGGGUUCAGAACGUCGUGAGACAGUUCGGUCCCUAUCUGCCGUGGGCGUAAGAAGAUUGAAGAGAUUUGACCCUAGUACGAGAGGACCGGGUUGAACAAACCACUGGUGUAGCUGUUGUUCUGCCAAGAGCAUCGCAGCGUAGCUAAGUUUGGAAAGGAUAAACGCUGAAAGCAUCUAAGCGUGAAGCCAACUCUAAGAUGAAUCUUCUCUAAGCUCUCUAGAAGACUACUAGUUUGAUAGGCUGGGUGUGUAAUGGAUGAAAGUCCUUUAGCUGACCAGUACUAAUAGAGCGUUUGGCUUAUCUUUAAUAAAGCAU
This 1392-nucleotide ribosomal RNA is filed under the name Campylobacter jejuni. RNAcentral describes it as "partial 23S ribosomal RNA". It matches the Rfam family "Bacterial large subunit ribosomal RNA", at positions 1545 to 2925 of the family's 2925-position model. The record is from RNAcentral. Lineage: Bacteria; Pseudomonadati; Campylobacterota; Epsilonproteobacteria; Campylobacterales; Campylobacteraceae.